Long non-coding RNA from Melanotaenia boesemani (Boeseman's rainbowfish), 562 nucleotides. RefSeq lists it as uncharacterized. The transcript has 3 exons. Lineage: Eukaryota; Metazoa; Chordata; Actinopteri; Atheriniformes; Melanotaeniidae. The record is from RefSeq and is a predicted model, not a curated record.
CAGGCCAGCAGUGAAAAUUCAUGUUAGCACCAUGAAACUGAUUUAAUAGAUAAUGUUGAAAUGACCUACUUAGCACAAUUAUAUGAAGUGGCUGAUUGCCACUUAAACCAUCUUACUGUAAUCAUCGUCUUACUAACAAAAACAUUUUUUUAUUUUCUUGUCCUGACAUAAGCCGGUUUCAUUUAUGUUAGCUUAAGAAAGACGUCAAAUUCAGCAAGUUCAUAACAGUUAAAUAAUAUAAAACCACUUCUUACUUGUGAAAUAUUAUCCCUUGUUUCUUGAUUUUGGUGUUUCUUUCACAGGAACAUCCGUAUGCAGCACAAAAAUCUAGUAUUUUGGUUUCACAAACACAGUCUGACUGAUCUGACCGGGUCUGAAACCCCGGCCCAAGAUGGUGGCCAUGUUGGUGUGCCUGAAAAGCCCAAAUGCAGCAUCUACAUGUAUAUAUCUAUGGUGAAAAUGGUCCCCCUCUAACAGUUUCCUGCUGCGGGUUUAGUGGUGCAGCAGUGAAAACGGCCCCCCCUCUAACAGUUUUCUACUGCGGGUUUAGUGGUGCAGCAGU